AGAGUUUGAUCAUGGCUCAGAUUGAACGCUGGCGGCAGGCCUAACACAUGCAAGUCGAACGGUAACAGGAAGCAGCUUGCUGCUUCGCUGACGAGUGGCGGACGGGUGAGUAAUGUCUGGGAAACUGCCUGAUGGAGGGGGAUAACUACUGGAAACGGUAGCUAAUACCGCAUAACGUCGCAAGACCAAAGAGGGGGACCUUCGGGCCUCUUGCCAUCGGAUGUGCCCAGAUGGGAUUAGCUAGUAGGUGGGGUAACGGCUCACCUAGGCGACGAUCCCUAGCUGGUCUGAGAGGAUGACCAGCCACACUGGAACUGAGACACGGUCCAGACUCCUACGGGAGGCAGCAGUGGGGAAUAUUGCACAAUGGGCGCAAGCCUGAUGCAGCCAUGCCGCGUGUAUGAAGAAGGCCUUCGGGUUGUAAAGUACUUUCAGCGGGGAGGAAGGGAGUAAAGUUAAUACCUUUGCUCAUUGACGUUACCCGCAGAAGAAGCACCGGCUAACUCCGUGCCAGCAGCCGCGGUAAUACGGAGGGUGCAAGCGUUAAUCGGAAUUACUGGGCGUAAAGCGCACGCAGGCGGUUUGUUAAGUCAGAUGUGAAAUCCCCGGGCUCAACCUGGGAACUGCAUCUGAUACUGGCAAGCUUGAGUCUCGUAGAGGGGGGUAGAAUUCCAGGUGUAGCGGUGAAAUGCGUAGAGAUCUGGAGGAAUACCGGUGGCGAAGGCGGCCCCCUGGACGAAGACUGACGCUCAGGUGCGAAAGCGUGGGGAGCAAACAGGAUUAGAUACCCUGGUAGUCCACGCCGUAAACGAUGUCGACUUGGAGGUUGUGCCCUUGAGGCGUGGCUUCCGGAGCUAACGCGUUAAGUCGACCGCCUGGGGAGUACGGCCGCAAGGUUAAAACUCAAAUGAAUUGACGGGGGCCCGCACAAGCGGUGGAGCAUGUGGUUUAAUUCGAUGCAACGCGAAGAACCUUACCUGGUCUUGACAUCCACAGAACUUUCCAGAGAUGGAUUGGUGCCUUCGGGAACUGUGAGACAGGUGCUGCAUGGCUGUCGUCAGCUCGUGUUGUGAAAUGUUGGGUUAAGUCCCGCAACGAGCGCAACCCUUAUCCUUUGUUGCCAGCGGUCCGGCCGGGAACUCAAAGGAGACUGCCAGUGAUAAACUGGAGGAAGGUGGGGAUGACGUCAAGUCAUCA
This 1197-nucleotide ribosomal RNA is filed under the name Escherichia coli P0304816.10. Its description in RNAcentral is "bacterial SSU rRNA". It matches the Rfam family "Bacterial small subunit ribosomal RNA", at positions 8 to 1195 of the family's 1533-position model. The record is from RNAcentral. Lineage: Bacteria; Pseudomonadati; Pseudomonadota; Gammaproteobacteria; Enterobacterales; Enterobacteriaceae.